This 493-nucleotide ribosomal RNA is filed under the name uncultured bacterium. RNAcentral's name for it is "partial 16S ribosomal RNA". It matches the Rfam family "Bacterial small subunit ribosomal RNA", at positions 30 to 523 of the family's 1533-position model. The record is from RNAcentral.
AUUGAACGCUGGCGGCAUGCCUUACACAUGCAAGUCGAACGGUAACAGGUUAAGCUGACGAGUGGCGAACGGGUGAGUAAUAUAUCGGAACGUGCCCAGUCGUGGGGGAUAACUGCCCGAAAGAGCAGCUAAUACCGCAUACGACCUGAGGGUGAAAGCGGGUGAUCGCAAGACCUCGCGCGAUUGGAGCGGCCGAUAUCAGAUUAGGUAGUUGGUGGGGUAAAGGCCCACCAAGCCAACGAUCUGUAGCUGGUCUGAGAGGACGACCAGCCACACUGGGACUGAGACACGGCCCAGACUCCUACGGGAGGCAGCAGUGGGGAAUUUUAGACAAUGGGCGCAAGCCUGACCCAGCCAUGCCGCGUGCGGGAAGAAGGCCUUCGGGUUGUAAACCGCUUUUGUCAGGGAAGAAAAGGUUCUGGUUAAUACCUGGGACUCAUGACGGUACCUGAAGAAUAAGCACCGGCUAACUACGUGCCAGCCGCCGCGGUAA